UCUGGUUGGAUGUGAAAAGCUGUUCCUGAACCCUGGCCCGCUUAUCGUAGGGGCAAAGGGGCUUUAUUUUUGUGUGUCCAAUUCGUGCACUGCAGCACAAUGGCUCUCAAUCGCAUCAGGGGGGUUUUCGGCAGGUUUCGCUGCUCUAGCGCUGAACAAAUUCAGAGGGGGGAAAAAGAGCGACGGGCCUCCCUCCCCCAUUAAUUAUUUGUGGGGCUGGAGUAAGACGGGCUGGUGCAACCGGUGCAUAUAAGGACUUAUGUGCAGGGAAGGGGAUCCGCCUCCAGGCGCGGAACGAAUGGGGGAGAAGCGCACUCCGCACUCCAGAGGUUUGCUUCGGCGGCGGGGUCCGUCCCCUAGCGACCCCCGGGAUCCCGGAAGGCGGGUGUCGCUGGCGGGUCGCUUGCCGGUCGGGGGCUGGGAAGGUUUGCCAGAAGCGGGAAGACGGAGAUCUGAGUUCCCGGUUGGCAUCGCCACACCCAGGACCUGCCCGUACUGCAAUUCCCCACGGAAACGACCGAAUUGAAACGAGAAGCUUUUUCUCUGGGUGCAAGAGCUUGAGUGCUUCAGAUGAACCACUCUAUGGACAAACCAAAAAUGGCACCAAGAGCUGUGGGAAAAGAAGCAUUCCCAUUUUCCAUUCUGGAUUUGGUAUCACCUCCUGUCUUCCUAGAUUCUCUGCUGGGAUGCUUCACAAUAGUGAAUUGCCCAGAGACCUCUGGUCAACAAGGUCACCCAACGACCUAGACUGGCAAGAGGCUGUAUCUCAACUCAUGCUUUCAUGAUCAUCCAGGGUGAGAGGAGAAAAGAAAAAGAAAUUAAAUUGGAAUAGCAGCCGGCUUUCAACUCCAGGAGAGCUGAUCAUAUGAUGAAGCCAGGGGCAUCUCAUCAAGAAAGUCCAAAUUUGAUGAAGCAAUUUUGUUCUGGAAGGCUUUGACUCGUCAGCCCUGCAAUGAACCCAUUAGAAGGUCAUCAAGAUGGGUCGACAGAAGUGGAAUCCAUGUAUUAAUAAUCAUGGUAGUAAUAAUUAUGAUACCACGCCCCAUAUCAGUCCGUGCCUGUGAGACAAGGCUGGGCCCCUUCCUGUGCUGAGAGGAGCCAGAGAACAUUUUCCAAGGACGCCGAAGACUUGCUGUGUUGUCCCAAUUGCCCUUCCUUUCAGCCUACUUCAAAUGGACCUGUGUCCCUUAUGCUGUCAUUCCCGGGGAACGGCAUCCAUUGAAAAUCAUUUUGCAUCCAAGAUGAUGACAGCUCUUACUGGGGCCUUUUCCCCUUCCUUUCUUAGAAGAGGCGAGACCAACCCAUCUGGGAAGUUCUCGCUGAGAUCUGGAAGAAAAUGCAGGAAGCUCAGAUAACUUGAAGAUGGUUUGGAAUGCACUGUGAUAGGGUGGGUUGUCCUAAAUGCAUUCAAAGGCCUUCUGAGCAGUUAUUGGUUAUAAUUUAUAACGAAAGAAUUUUCUGCUGAAUUGACCAAGACUAGCAAGAUACUUCUAAAUUUGUACACCUGGGAACUCCUAUGACUUUCUCUGGUAAGUCUUGAGUUUUCCUCUAGGGAAAUCAUUCUGCUUCUCUCCUCCUCUCCUCUCGGAAGGUCAGCCGUGUAGAAAUUGCCUGCAGCCACCGUGCUAUGCCUAGCAGCACCCUCUAGAAAAAAAUUAAAUGCAUUCAAAGAUCAGUCAUCCUCUUAAAUGACAGGAACAGGGAUGUGAGGCAAACUGGAUAAGAUGGUCCAAGUGUUUCUUUCUUCCUGGCUUCCAGGCGUACCCUUGGCUGCUAGAUGGAAUGAGGCGUGGGAUAGAGCUAUGGUCUUAAGGGAAAACUAGACGUCUCUGGCUUGGUCUAGUCAUUUCAUCUGUCCAGCCUGGCCUUGGCAGAAGCUGUCUCAGUAUUUGUUUUACAGGCUGAUUUGAGCAAUUGAGUUU
Molecule: long non-coding RNA, 1922 nt
Organism: Mustela erminea (ermine)
Lineage: Eukaryota; Metazoa; Chordata; Mammalia; Carnivora; Mustelidae
Exons: 5
Source: RefSeq, a predicted model, not a curated record